AGCAACAAAUGCCCUGCUUCCAGGAAAAGCCUCUAAGCAUCAGGUAACAUCAAAUCGUACCCCAAACCGACACAGGUGGUCAGGUAGAGAAUACCAAGGCGCUUGAGAGAACUCGGGUGAAGGAACUAGGCAAAAUGGUGCCGUAACUUCGGGAGAAGGCACGCUGACACGUAGGUGAAGUGAUUUACUCAUGGAGCUGAAGUCAGUCGAAGAUACCAGCUGGCUGCAACUGUUUAUUAAAAACACAGCACUGUGCAAACACGAAAGUGGACGUAUACGGUGUGACGCCUGCCCGGUGCCGGAAGGUUAAUUGAUGGGGUCAGCGCAAGCGAAGCUCCUGAUCGAAGCCCCGGUAAACGGCGGCCGUAACUAUAACGGUCCUAAGGUAGCGAAAUUCCUUGUCGGGUAAGUUCCGACCUGCACGAAUGGCGUAAUGAUGGCCAGGCUGUCUCCACCCGAGACUCAGUGAAAUUGAACUCGCUGUGAAGAUGCAGUGUACCCGCGGCAAGACGGAAAGACCCCGUGAACCUUUACUAUAGCUUGACACUGAACAUUGAGCCUUGAUGUGUAGGAUAGGUGGGAGGCUUUGAAGCGUGGACGCCAGUCUGCGUGGAGCCGACCUUGAAAUACCACCCUUUAAUGUUUGAUGUUCUAACGUGGACCCGUAAUCCGGGUUGCGGACAGUGUCUGGUGGGUAGUUUGACUGGGGCGGUCUCCUCCUAAAGAGUAACGGAGGAGCACGAAGGUUGGCUAAUCCUGGUCGGACAUCAGGAGGUUAGUGCAAUGGCAUAAGCCAGCUUGACUGCGAGCGUGACGGCGCGAGCAGGUGCGAAAGCAGGUCAUAGUGAUCCGGUGGUUCUGAAUGGAAGGGCCAUCGCUCAACGGAUAAAAGGUACUCCGGGGAUAACAGGCUGAUACCGCCCAAGAGUUCAUAUCGACGGCGGUGUUUGGCACCUCGAUGUCGGCUCAUCACAUCCUGGGGCUGAAGUAGGUCCCAAGGGUAUGGCUGUUCGCCAUUUAAAGUGGUACGCGAGCUGGGUUUAGAACGUCGUGAGACAGUUCGGUCCCUAUCUGCCGUGGGCGCUGGAAGACUGAGGGGGGCUGCUCCUAGUACGAGAGGACCGGAGUGGACGCAUCACUGGUGUUCGGGUUGUCAUGCCAAUGGCACUGCCCGGUAGCUAAAUGCGGAAAAGAUAAGUGCUGAAAGCAUCUAAGCACGAAACUUGCCCCGAGAUGAGUCUUCCCUGAGACUUUGAGUCUCCUGAAGGAACGUUAAAGACGAUGACGUUGAUAGGCCGGGUGUGUAAGCGCAGCGAUGCGUUGAGCUAACCGGUACUAAUGA
RNAcentral lists this ribosomal RNA (1342 nucleotides) under Salmonella enterica. Its description in RNAcentral is "partial 23S ribosomal RNA". It matches the Rfam family "Bacterial large subunit ribosomal RNA", at positions 1589 to 2907 of the family's 2925-position model. Lineage: Bacteria; Pseudomonadati; Pseudomonadota; Gammaproteobacteria; Enterobacterales; Enterobacteriaceae. The record is from RNAcentral.